Molecule: ribosomal RNA, 588 nt
Filed under: uncultured bacterium
Lineage: Bacteria
Description: bacterial SSU rRNA
Rfam family: Bacterial small subunit ribosomal RNA
Source: RNAcentral
UUAUCUGGGAGAUAGCCUUUCGAAAGGAAGAUUAAUAUCCCAUAACAUAUUAGAUGGCAUCAUUUAAUAUUGAAAGUUCCGGCGGAUAGAGAUGGGCACGCGCAAGAUUAGAUAGUUGGUGAGGUAACGGCUCACCAAGUCAAUGAUCUUUAGGGGGCCUGAGAGGGUGAUCCCCCACACUGGUACUGAGACACGGACCAGACUCCUACGGGAGGCAGCAGUGAGGAAUAUUGGACAAUGGGUGAAAGCCUGAUCCAGCCAUCCCGCGUGAAGGACGACGGCCCUACGGGUUGUAAACUUCUUUUAUAUAGGAAUAAACCUAGAUACGUGUAUCUAGCUGAAGGUACUAUAUGAAUAAGCACCGGCUAACUCCGUGCCAGCAGCCGCGGUAAUACGGAGGGUGCAAGCGUUAUCCGGAUUUAUUGGGUUUAAAGGGUCCGUAGGCGGACCUGUAAGUCAGUGGUGAAAUCUCGCAGCUUAACUGUGAAACUGCCAUUGAUACUGCAGGUCUUGAGUGAAUUUGAGGUAGCUGGAAUAAGUAGUGUAGCGGUGAAAUGCAUAGAUAUUACUUAGAACACCAAUUGCGAA